UACCAGUUGAGAUAUCAAAGCAAUCAGCAGCUCUUGGGCUUCCCAUUGAAGGGGCUUCUUUACCAACUUCAUUGCAGAAAUUCCAGGCCUCAAAGCCCACUCUAAGCCCGUCUCUUCUCAUUCCAGGGUCUCCCACUGCUGAAGCACUUUCCUUAACACUUGCAGAAGAGACACGAAAGAGUAGCAGCAAUUUUAUCAUGAAAAAGAAUGACAUUAACAAGGGAAAGUAUUUCAUGGCUGCUGCUUUCUGUCCCUUCUAUUUUGGGAAACUAUUUUCUUACUCUCUAUCUCAAGGUAGCAGCAGGGGGAGUUAUUAUGGGACAAAUAAAUACAAAUUGGGUUGCAGCUUGCCAUUGAUGAUUGACAAUUCUGGGACGAAGGCACACAGACAAGGCAGUGGGGUCACCCACCGAUUUUUAUUUUUAUUUAUUUUUAUAAUAUGGCAAAUUUAGUACAUUUUUGUGCUAAUAUAUAAACUUACCCCAUUAAAAUUUUAUAAAAUUUUUUUACCAAAUACUG
This 519-nucleotide long non-coding RNA is filed under the name Panax ginseng (ginseng). Its description in RNAcentral is "long non-coding RNA (PGIN_LNC013049)". Lineage: Eukaryota; Viridiplantae; Streptophyta; Magnoliopsida; Apiales; Araliaceae. The record is from RNAcentral.